RNAcentral lists this ribosomal RNA (540 nucleotides) under Oenococcus oeni. RNAcentral's name for it is "bacterial SSU rRNA". It matches the Rfam family "Bacterial small subunit ribosomal RNA", at positions 683 to 1222 of the family's 1533-position model. Lineage: Bacteria; Bacillati; Bacillota; Bacilli; Lactobacillales; Lactobacillaceae. The record is from RNAcentral.
GAAAUGCGUAGAUAUGUGGAAGAACACCAGUGGCGAAAGCGGCUUGCUAGAUCGUAACUGACGUUGAGGCUCGAAAGUAUGGGUAGCAAACGGGAUUAGAUACCCCGGUAGUCCAUACCGUAAACGAUGGGUGCUAGUUGUUAAGAGGUUUCCGCCUCCUAGUGACGUAGCAAACGCAUUAAGCACCCCGCCUGAGGAGUACGGCCGCAAGGCUAAAACUUAAAGGAAUUGACGGGGACCCGCACAAGCGGUGGAGCAUGUGGUUUAAUUCGAAGAUACGCGAAAAACCUUACCAGGUCUUGACAUACCAAUGAUCGCUUUUGUAAUGAAAGCUUUUCUUCGGAACAUUGGAUACAGGUGGUGCAUGGUCGUCGUCAGCUCGUGUCGUGAGAUGUUGGGUUAAGUCCCGCAACGAGCGCAACCCUUGUUAUUAGUUGCCAGCAUUUAGUUGGGCACUCUAAUGAGACUGCCGGUGAUAAACCGGAGGAAGGUGGGGACGACGUCAGAUCAUCAUGCCCCUUAUGACCUGGGCAACACACG